This 1004-nucleotide long non-coding RNA is filed under the name Homo sapiens (human). Its description in RNAcentral is "HSALNT0351466". Lineage: Eukaryota; Metazoa; Chordata; Mammalia; Primates; Hominidae. The record is from RNAcentral.
CUGAGUUCUGAGUGUAGAACACCAAGAGAUAGAGAAGCCUUGAGCUCACACAAGCAGAGUUCUGUGCAGGGAGAUGUCUCAGAAAAAGUGUUUCUUUAGCCCUCUCCCUGACUUGCAUCCUCAUGAGACUCUUAAACCCCCUCCUGACCUUCAGAGAUGUUUAUCAUCAGAGAUGGGUUAUGGAAGUGAUCCUAUAGAACCUGAGAGAUUGCUUAACUCAAACUCUGCUUCUACAUUAGAGUGUCUUCUGAAAAAUGACCUCAACAAAAUUUGCUAUCUACCUAUUUACUAACAUAAAUGAGGAAACCAAAAAGGUCAACGGUGAGGCAGGAAGGUUUCAGUUCAGUGGAGAAAAGAAAAUCUUGAUGAAAUGUCAUUAACUUCCAUAUUUGGAAUAAGCUAUAAAAGAGUGUCUACUGUGUACUCAAUGUCUUCUAGGCACUAGGAUACAGCAGUGAACAACAACAACAACAGCAAAACAAAAUCCAAGCCCUCAAGAAACUUACUCCUUGGACUACGUGUCUUUCCCCAGGACUAUAUGCCGUUCCCUUUCCAGGACUAUGUGUCUUUCCGCAGGACUAUAUGCCAUUCCCCAAGUGCCAUUCGGAAAUUAUUCAUAAAAUUUAUGUAGAAACGAAAGGUUCAAAAAUAGCAAAGACACUUGAAGAACCAGGUAGGAAGGACUUGUUCUACCAGCUAUUGAUUUAUUAUAUUAUUACUCCAAUUAAGACACCGAGAUUGUCAUCAAUAUUGAAAAAUAGAUCAGAAGCAACAAAUUAAAAAUCCAGAAACCAGUCAUUUUUCCAUACUAAUUUGGUCUCAAUGAGAACAACAUAAUUCUCAUUCAUCUCCCUGUAGAAGUUAUAUAUUUCCAAAGUGGUUCAAAUGUACUGAAAGCCAACUCACCACUAGGAAUUGAAUCAAAAUUGACCCACAGACGUACAACAUUAAGUUUGCUGCGAAGAUUUAAAUCAGUGGGACAUAAAAUAAAAAUUGUAUGCUAC